Molecule: transfer RNA, 74 nt
Filed under: Kutzneria sp. CA-103260
Lineage: Bacteria; Bacillati; Actinomycetota; Actinomycetes; Pseudonocardiales; Pseudonocardiaceae
Description: tRNA-Arg
Rfam family: tRNA
About the family: Transfer RNA (tRNA) molecules are approximately 80 nucleotides in length.
Source: RNAcentral
ACCUGCGUGCGGCGGGUGACGGGCCUACCGCCCUCCGGAGGCGGGUGCGCAGGUUCGAAUCCUGCCGGGGGCAC